CUACGGGAUGCUCCAGUGAGGAAUAUUGCACAAUGGGGGGAACCCUGAUGCAGCAACGCCGCGUGGAGGAUGACGCAUUUCGGUGUGUAAACUCCUUUUAUAUGUCAAGAAAAUGACGGUAGCAUAUGAAUAAGCACCGGCUAACUCCGUGCCAGCAGCCGCGGUAAUACGGAGGGUGCAAGCGUUACUCGGAAUCACUGGGCGAUAAAGGACGCGUGGGCGGGUUGGAAAGUCAGGUGUGAAAUCCUACAGCUUAACUGUAGAACUGCACUUGAAACUUCUAAUCUAGAGGAUGGGAGGGGGAGAUGGAAUUAGUGGUGUAGGGGUAAAAUUCGUAGAUAUCACUAGGAAUACCUAAAGCGAAGGCGAUCUCCUGGAACAUUACUGACGCUAAGGCGUGAAAGCGUGGGGAGCAAACAGGAUUAGAUACCCCGGUAGUC
This 440-nucleotide ribosomal RNA is filed under the name uncultured bacterium. RNAcentral's name for it is "partial 16S ribosomal RNA". It matches the Rfam family "Bacterial small subunit ribosomal RNA", at positions 339 to 795 of the family's 1533-position model. The record is from RNAcentral.